AAGCAAAAAACUUGGAAGAGGGUGGCUAUGGUUUUUAUGUUAGAAAAAUGGAAGGGAAGGAAGUUGUAUGUUUAUGUGAUGGUGAUGAAUGAUUAUGUAAGUGAAGGUCACAAGCUUGCUACUGUUUUUGUUGUGUGGAGUUUGUGGAUUUUUACAUGGUGGUUGGGUGGUUCAAAGGAGAAAAGAGGGUUUGGGUGAGUUAGAGUUUAGGUUGAAAAGAGGGAGCUUGAAUGUGAUUUGGACAGAGGUUUUGUGGCUUUCAAGCUUGAAAAAUGAAUGGGGAUAAUGCUCUAUUUAUAAGGGAAUAAAGGGGUUGAAAGGGGUGAACCAAAAGGUCCUUUG
Molecule: long non-coding RNA, 342 nt
Filed under: Lathyrus oleraceus (garden pea)
Lineage: Eukaryota; Viridiplantae; Streptophyta; Magnoliopsida; Fabales; Fabaceae
Description: Pisum sativum (pea) long non-coding RNA (PSAT_LNC025726)
Source: RNAcentral